GGGGAUUUAGCUCAGCGGCAUAAGCACCUGCCUUGCAAGCAGGCGGUUGUGAGCAAGAUCCCCA
Molecule: transfer RNA, 64 nt
Filed under: Cavia porcellus (domestic guinea pig)
Lineage: Eukaryota; Metazoa; Chordata; Mammalia; Rodentia; Caviidae
Rfam family: tRNA
About the family: Transfer RNA (tRNA) molecules are approximately 80 nucleotides in length. Their secondary structure includes four short double-helical elements and three loops (D, anti-codon, and T loops).
Source: Rfam by way of RNAcentral